This is a non-coding RNA of Sus scrofa (pig), 9229 nucleotides long. The record is from RefSeq and is a predicted model, not a curated record. Lineage: Eukaryota; Metazoa; Chordata; Mammalia; Artiodactyla; Suidae.
UAACCCACUGAGCGAGACCAGGGAUUGAACCCACAUCCUCAUGGAUACUAGCCAGGUUCUUAACCCGCUGAGCCACAAUGGGAAGUCCUAGGACUUGUUUUUUUUCCUCCAUAGUUUCGUUUGGCCCCCUAGUCCCCUCCCGCCUUUCACAAUAUUCUCAUACCCUUUUUCCCAUCCGGCCAUCCAGAUGUGGGGGCCUCCUUUAGUCUCUGUUCACCACAUCUGCCGUGGCCCAGCCGUUUAUAUCUGCAUUUCUGCUUUCCUCUGUGAUUUAUACUCCCUGUCCUGCCUCUCCCCCAUCCUGACUGUUCUUGCUUGUUCUGGCCCCACCAUCUCACAGGCUGCUGUCCCACCUGCCCACGCAGGUCAUCCUUCUAAGCCCUGGUCUGUAUCUUAGUCACCCUACCGUUCUGCCCAAACUGUCCUGGUGGUCACCUCUUUCUGGUACCUUGCCUGUUCUUCUUCUCAUUCUCCCUGGUGACCUCUUUUAUUUCUCAAAUCUCUUUGUUUUCUUCUCUCACUGUUUUUACUCUAUUCUCCUUCCCUUACAAAUCCCAAAGUAUGUUCAAGUUAUGUAUUCCAUCCUCCUCUCUGCCUUUUCUCUUGGGUCUCUGAACUCCACGCAGUCUGCCAGUCACCACCCACCCUGUUUGCGCCUUGAGAUUCUGCCCCCUACAGGUAGUCUCUUCCCUUUCCCAUACCGCCUCUAUCUUUCUUGUGUGUCCCAGGAGGUCAGGAUGGUGGGGGAACGGCGCGCUGGGGACCUCAUGGUGCCCUUGGGGCCCCGGCUGCAGGCAUAUCCUGAAGAACUUCUUCGACAGCGGCCUGGGCAUGAUGGGCGUCCUGAGUACCUGAUCCGAUGGAGUGUCCUGAAGUGUGGGGAAGUGGGCAGAGUGGGUGUGGAAGAGGGCAAGGCAGAGCACAUCCUCAUGUGGCUGUCAGCCCCCGAGGUCUACGCCAACUGCCCCAUGCUGUUAGGUGAGCGGGCAUUAUCUACGGGACCUCAGCACGAAACAGCUGGGGGUUCAGGAAGCUUUCCCCGAGAUCCAGGAGGCCUGGAUGAUGUGGCACUGGGAGAGAUGGAGGCUGAUGUGCGGGCGCUGGUGCGCAGGGCUGCCAGGCAGCUGGCAGAAGGUGGGACCUCGAGCCUCACGGCCGCUGUGCUCCACACCAUCCAUGUGCUCAGCGCCUACGCCAGCAUCGGGCCUCUCACUGGGGUCUUCCGGGAGACGGGCGCCCUGGACCUGCUCAUGCACAUGUUGUGCAACCCCGAGCCUCAGAUCCGGCGUAGCGCAGGCAAGAUGCUGCAGGCUCUGGCAGCCCAUGAUGCUGGGAGUCGGGCCCAUGUCCUCCUGUCACUGAGCCAGCAGGACGGCAUCGAGCAGCACAUGGACUUUGAUAGCCGCUACACUUUGCUGGAGCUGUUCGCAGAGACCACGUCUUCUGAGGAACACUGCAUGGCCUUUGAGGGCAUUCAUCUGCCUCAGAUCCCAGGAAAGCUGCUCUUCUCCCUGGUGAAACGCUACCUGUGUGUCACUUCCCUGCUGGAUCAGCUGAAUAACAGUCCAGAGCCAGGGGCUGGAGACCGAGGCUCCCCAUCCUCAAGGGAGGAUUUUGGCCAGGAGAAAAGCCGAGGGCAGCGGGAGCUGGAGUUCAGUAUGGCCAUGGGCAGCCUCAUCUCAGAGCUGGUGCGGAGCAUGGGCUGGGCCCGGAACCUUGGCGAACAGGGCACAUCGCCACCCCGGCCGUCCCGAUCCAUCUUUCAGCCUGGCAUUUCUGGCCCCAGCCUCUUACUUCCCUCCAUCGUCGCCAUCCCCAGGAGGCAAGGGCGGGCCUUCCGCCAGCGCGCCGAGUUCUCUAGCCGCAGUGGCUACGGUGAGUAUGUGCAGCAGAACCUGCAGCCGGGGAUGCGUGUGCGGAUGCUGGAUGACUACGAGGAGAUCAGCGCCGGGGACGAGGGCGAGUUCCGGCAGAGCAACAACGGUGUACCCCCAGUGCAGGUCUUCUGGCAGUCAACGGGCCGAACCUACUGGGUGCACUGGUACAUGCUGGAGAUCCUGGGCCCCGAGGAGGCUGCUGAGGAGACGGCUUCAGCAGCUGCAGAGAAGGGGGCAGGGGCUGCUCUGUUAGGCACAGCACUUCCCCCCUGGGACUGGAAGCCAGUGGACGGGCUCUACUCUUUGCCGUACCUCCAGCCCGAGCCUCAGAAGAAUGAGGGAUUAGGAUACCUGACCCAGGCGGAGUGGUGGGAGCUGCUCUUCUUCAUCAAGAAAUUGGACAUAUGUGAGCAGCAGCCAAUUUUCCAGAAUCUUCGGGAGAAACUAGAUGAGACCCCAGGCGAGCAGGCCCUCGGUGAGAUCUCCGUGCCCUCAGCGAUGGCCGAAGAUCUGCUGCAGGUUCUCAGGAAUCGGUUUGAGGGCAGUGCCCUCAGUGACCUGCUCAGCUCGCAAAUUUACGCCAAGUACGGGCGGCCACCCCGUGCCCCGAGCAGCUCAUCGUCGUCGUCUUCCCCAAGUCGCUCCUGCACGCCAGAUCCGGAAGAGGAGUGCAAGUCAGAGGCCACCUUCUCAGAGGAAGAGACUGAGUCCCCCAAAGCCAAGACCGAGCCCCUCAAGGCAGAGGCUGAGGCCGGCAAGGGAAAAACCGAGCCUCCCAUGGCACAGAGUGAUUCCCAGCUGUUUAACCAGCUUCUGGUGACUGAGGGGAUGGCUCUGCCCCCCGAGAUGAAGGAGGCAGCCAAUGAGAUGGCUAGAGCCUUGCGGGGUCCCGGGCCGCGAAGCUCCCUGGAUCAGCACGUGGCUGCCGUCGUGGCCACUGUGCAGAUAUCCAGCUUGGACACACAUCUGCAGCUUUCAGGGCUCUAUGCCCUCUCGCAGGCCGUGGAGGAGGUCACCGAGCGGGACCACCCUCUGGUCCGUCCUGACCGAUCCCUGAGAGAGAAGCUAGUGAAGACGCUGGUGGAGCUGCUAACCAACGAGGUGGGAGAGAAGAUGGUGGUGGUGCUGGCCCUGCGCCUUCUUUACCUGCUCAUGACCAAACACGAGUGGCGCCCACUCUUUGCCAGGGAGGGUGGCAUCUAUGCUGUGCUCGUUUGCAUGCAAGAAUACAAGACCUCCGUCUUGGUGCAGCAAGCAGGGCUGGCGGCCCUGAAGAUGCUGGCCGUUGCCAGCUCCUCGGAGAUCCCCACUUUCGUUACCGGCCGAGAUUCUAUCCACCCUUUGUUUGACGCCCAGAUGACCAGGGAGAUCUUCGCCAGCAUCGACUCAGCCACCCGCCCGGGCUCUGAGAGCCUGCUCCUCACUGUCCCUGCAGCAGUGAUCCUGAUGCUGAACACAGAGGGGUGCUCCUCAGCAGUGAGAAACGGCCUGCUCCUGCUCAACCUGCUUUUGUGCAACCACUACACGCUGGGAGACCAGAUCAUAACCCGCGAGCUCAGAGACACCUUGUUUAGGCACUCGGGAAUAGCGCCGGGGACAGAACCCAUGCCCACCACGCGCACCAUCCUCAUGAUGCUUCUCAAUCGCUACUCGGAGCCGCCGGGCAGCCCCGAGCACGCAGCCUCACUGGAGUCCCCUGGUGCCCGGGGCCAGGAUGGGUCCCCUGAGCUGCUGAUCCGGUCCCUGGUGGGGGGCCCAUCUGCAGAGCUCCUCCUGGACUUGGAGCGUGUGCUGUGCCGCGAGGGGGGCCCCGGGGGCGCCGUGAGGCCCCUUCUCAAGCGCCUCCAGCAGGAGAGCCAGCCCUUCCUCCUAUUUCUGCGGACUCUGGAUGCUCCUGGGCCCAACAAAACUCUGCUGCUGACGGCGCUGAGGGUCAUGACCCGGCUGCUGGAUCACCCGGAGGCAGUGGUCCUCCCCUGGCAUGAGGUCUUGGAGCCCUGCCUCAACUGUCUGAGUGGCCCUAGCAGUGACUCUGAGAUCGUUCAGGAGCUGCUCUGCUUCCUGUACCGCCUGGCCUCGAUGCACAAGGACUAUGCCGUGGUGCUCUGCUGCCUGGGAGCCAAAGAGGCCCUCGCCAAAGUCCUGGACAAGCACUCGGCUGAGCUGCUGCUGGCCUGCGAGCUCCGGGACCUGGUGACAGAGUGUGAGAAACAUGCCCAGUUGUACAGCAACCUCACCUCCAGCAUCCUGGCUGGCUGCAUUCAGAUGGUGCUGGGCCAGAUUGAAGACCACAGACGCACCCACCGCCCCAUCAACAUCCCCUUCUUUGACGUGUUCCUCAGGCACCUCUGCCAAGGCUCCAGUGUGGAGGUGAAGGAGGACAAGUGCUGGGAGAAGGUGGAGGUGUCCUCCAACCCGCACCGGGCAGGCAAGCUGACCGACCGAAACCCCAAGACCUACUGGGAAUCCAACGGCAGCACUGGCUCCCACCACAUCACCUUGCAUAUGCACCGCGGUGUUCUUGUUAGGCAGCUGACUCUGCUGGUGGCCAGUGAAGACUCAAGUUACAUGCCAGCCAGGGUGGUGGUGUUUGGGGGUGACAGCGCCAGUUGCAUCAGCACGGAGCUCAACACGGUCAACGUGAUGCCCUCUGCCAGCCGGGUGGUCCUCCUGGAGAACCUGAACCGCUUCUGGCCUGUCAUCCAGAUCCGCAUAAAGCGCUGCCAACAGGGUGGCAUCGACACCCGGGUUCGGGGCGUGGAGGUCCUGGGCCCCAAGCCCACUUUCUGGCCGCUAUUCCGAGAGCAGCUGUGUCGCCGGACGUGUCUCUUCUACACAAUUCGGGCGCAAGCCUGGAGCCGGGACAUUGCAGAGGACCGCAGGCGUCUCCUCCAGCUCUGUCCCAGACUGAACAGGGUUUUGCGGCAUGAGCAGAACUUUGCCGAUCGCUUCCUCCCUGACGACGAGGCCGCCCAAGCCCUGGGCAAGAGCUGCUGGGAGGCCCUGGUCAGCCCCCUGGUGCAGAACGUCACCUCCCCUGAUGCAGAAGGUGUGAGCUCCCUGGGGUGGCUGCUGGAUCAGUACUUAGAACAGAGGGAGAGCUCGCGGAACCCCCUGAGUCGAGCAGCAUCCUUUGCCUCUCGCGUCCGUCGCCUUUGCCACUUGCUAGUGCACGUGGAGCCUCCGCCUGGGCCUUCUCCCGAGCCGUCCACUCGGCCCCUCAGCAGGAACAGUAAGGGUCGGGACCGGAGCCCCGGGCCUUCACCAGUUCUUCCGAGCAGCAGCCUGAGGAACAUCACCCAGUGCUGGCUGAGUGUGGUGCAGGAGCAGGUGGGUGGUGGCGGCAGAGAUCGGGGUGAGCGGGGGCAGCCAGGCUGCCCCUUUGAUGUGGUUUCCCCUUUCUCUCAGGUCAGCAGGUUCCUGGCUGCAGCCUGGAGGGCCCCUGACUUCGUGCCCCGAUACUGUGACCUCUACGAGCGCUUGCAGAGAGCGGGCUCGGAGCUCUUUGGGCCCCGGGCGGCCUUCACCCUGGCCUUGCGCAGCGGCUUCUCUGGCGCCUUGCUGCAGCAGUCCUUCCUCACGGCUGCUCACAUGAGCGAGCAGUUUGCCAGGCACAUUGACCAGCAGAUCCAGGGUGGGCUGAUCGGCGGAGCCCCUGGAGUGGAAAUGCUGGGGCGGCUUCAGCGGCACCUGGAGCCCAUCAUGGUCCUCUCUGGCCUGGAGCUGGCCACGACCUUUGAGCAUUUCUACCAGCACUACAUGGCGGACCGUCUCCUGAGCCUGGGCUCGAGCUGGCUGGAGGGGGCCGUGCUGGAGCAGAUUGGCCUCUGUUUCCCCAACCGCCUCCCCCAGCAGAUGCUGCGGAGCCUGAGCACCUCGGAGGAGCUGCAGCGCCAGUUCCACCUCUUCCAGCUUCAGCAGCUGGACAAGCUGCUCUUGGAGCAGGAGGAUGAGGGGGAACAGGGCCUGGAAGAGGAGGAGGACCAAGAGGAGGAAAAGGAGGCUGAGAAAGAACUAUUUAUCGAAGAUCCGAGUCCAACAGUUUCUAUAAUGGUCCUGUCACCACGCUGCUGGCCGGUCUCCCCACUCUGCUACCUGUACCAUCCCAGAAAGUGCCUUCCCACAGAAUUCUGUGAUGCCCUUGACCGCUUCUCCAAUUUCUACAGCCAGAGUCAGAACCAUCCCGUCCUGGAUGUGGGGCCACAUCGGCGACUGCAGUGGACGUGGCUGGGCCGGGCUGAGCUGCAGUUUGGGGACCAGACGCUGCAUGUGUCCACUGUACAGAUGUGGCUGCUAUUGAAUUUCAAUCAGACAGAGGAGGUGUCGGUAGAGGCCUUGCUGAAGAAGUCUGACCUCAGCCCAGAGCUGCUGCUCCAGGCACUUCUGCCCCUCACCACGGACAGCGGCCCUUUGACCCUGCAGGAGGCUCAGGAUUUUCCUCACGGGGGUGUGGUGCAGCUCCGUGAGCCUGGGCUCCAGGCCCAGGGGGAGCCCCUGUGGCUGCUCCCGGCCCAGAUGUACCUGAAUGUGGAGAAGGAUGAGGGCCGGACCCUGGAGCAGAAGAGGAACCUCCUGAGCUGUCUUCUUGUCCGUAUCCUCAAAGCCCACGGGGAAAAGGGCCUCCACAUUGACCAGCUGGUUUGCCUGGUGCUGGAGGCCUGGCGCAAGGGUCCCAAUCCCCCUGGCAGCCUGGGCCGCGCUGUGGCCGGCGGCGUGGCCUGUAGCAGCUCGGAUGUUCUCUCCUGCAUCCUGCACCUCCUGGGCCAGGGCUACGUGGAGCGGCGGGAUGACCGGCCCCAGGUCCUGAUGUAUGCCGCUCCAGAGCCUGCGGGGCCCUGCCGGGGUCAGGCAGAGGUCCCCUUCUCUGGCAGCCAGACCUGCGUGGAGAGCUCCAAGCCUAGCCCGGAAGCUGUGGCUGCCUUGGCAUCCCUACAGCUGCCUGCAGGCCGCACCAUGAGCCCCCAGGAGGUGGAAGGGCUGAUGGAGCAGACCGUGCGGCAGGUGCAGGAGACGCUGAACCUGGACCCCGAUGUGGCUCAGCACCUUCUGGCUCAUUCCCACUGGGGUGCCGAACAGCUGCUGCAGAACUACAGCGACAACCCGGAGCCGCUGCUGCUGGCGGCUGGGCUGUGCGUCCCCCAGGCCCAGCCCGCCCCCGCACGCCCCGACCACUGCCCUGUCUGCGUCAGCCCCCUGGAGCCUGAGGACGACUUGCCGGCCCUCUGCUGCAGGCACUACUGCUGUAAGUCUUGCUGGAACGAGUACCUGACGACUCGAAUUGAGCAGAACCUUGUGCUGCACUGCACCUGCCCCAUCGCCGACUGCCCUGCCCAGCCCACGGGAGCCUUCAUCCGUUCCAUCGUCUCCUCGCCCGAAGUCAUCUCCAAGUACGAGAAAGCCCUCCUGCGUGGCUACGUGGAGAGCUGCUCCAACCUGACGUGGUGCACCAACCCCCAGGGCUGCGACCGCAUCCUGUGCCGCCAGGGCCUGGGCUGUGGAACCACUUGCUCCAAGUGUGGCUGGGCCUCCUGCUUCAACUGCAGCUUCCCUGAGGCCCACUACCCUGCCAGCUGUGGCCACAUGUCUCAGUGGGUGGAUGACGGCGGCUACUACGAUGGCAUGAGUGUAGAGGCCCAGAGCAAGCAUCUGGCCAAGCUCAUCUCCAAGCGCUGUCCCAGCUGCCAGGCUCCCAUUGAGAAGAACGAGGGGUGUCUGCACAUGACUUGUGCCAAAUGCAACCAUGGAUUCUGCUGGCGCUGCCUCAAGUCCUGGAAGCCAAAUCACAAAGACUAUUACAACUGCUCCGCCAUGGUAAGCAAAGCAGCUCGCCAGGAGAAGCGGUUCCAGGACUAUAAUGAGAGGUGUACUUUCCAUCACCAGGCCCGGGAGUUUGCUGUGAACUUGCGGAACCGCGUGUCUGCCAUCCACGAGGUGCCCCCACCCAAAUGCUUCACCUUCCUCAGCGACGCCUGCCGGGGUCUGGAGCAGGCUCGAAAGGUGCUGGCCUAUGCCUGCGUGUACAGCUUCUACAACCAGGACACGGAGCACGUGGACGUGGUGGAGCAGCAGACGGAGACCCUGGAGCUGCACACCAACGCCCUGCAGAUCCUCCUUGGUGAGGCCCUCUCCCCCAGCACCCCUGGACCUGAACAUGAAGAGGAGACGCUGCUGCGCUGCAGGGACCUGGCCUCAUCGCUGCGCCUGCUGCGGGCUGAGCACCUCAACACGGGCCUGGAGCUGCUGCGGCGGAUCCAGGAGAGGAUGCUCGCCAUCCUGCAGCACUCCACCCAGGUAGCCGCCUCUCCCCCGCCCCUGCAGCCUCCUGCCCUGGGGGUCCCGAAGGAAGGAGGGCAAGUGGGUGUUAGGAGACUGGGCGUGCGCGGCUCCCAAGCCAGCCUGCCCUUUAACCACCAGGCUGGCAUUCCCUACAGGGUGAAGGAAUCAGCCCAGAUUGAGGGUGUUAGGUCAGGUGGUUGCUCCCCAGAAUCAUCUGGGGAAUUUUUCCAGGAGAUACUUCCCAGAUGUGGAUUCAGAAUCCUAGGAGUCGGGGCUGGGGGAUUGGGAUCCAGCAGAGUAAGGGAUCUCUGAGGUUCUCUCAGCUCUAAGACACUGCUGUUAAGUCUAAAUUAGGAGUUCUGCCCUCAGGGAGCUUACACACUGGUAAGUAACUCACGCAGGAAAGGCACGAACAUACACGUAAGCCCGGGGGUGGUGCUUCACCAGCAUCUCCUGGGUCCCUGGAGCCCACCUCGAGUCAGUCCACAGGGGCAGUGCUUGGUGGGGAGCUGUGCUGAGCGGGGGAGGCGGCGGGAGCAGCCUGGCUGGGGCUCAGCGCCUCGCAGGCCCUCAGGGAACGCUGGCUGAAGGAAUGCUGGGCACAGAGGCACAGCACCCCCUCCCCUCCUGCUGCCACAUCCCCGUGUCCUUGCCAGGACUUCAGGGUUGGCCUCCAGAGUCCAUCGCUAGAGGCCCGGGAGGUGAAAGGAUCCAACGUUCCCGGCAGUCAGCCACAGGGCUCCUCGGGGCUGGAGGGGGAUGAGGAAGAGGAAGACGACGAGGAGGAUGACGUGCCCGAGUGGCAGCAGGAUGAGUUUGAGGAGGAGCUGGACAAUGACAGCUUCUCCUAUGAUGAGGAGUCUGAAAACCUGGACCGAGAGACUUUCUUCUUCGGCGACGAGGAAGAAGAUGAUGAGGCCUAUGACUGAGGGGCAGGGGGCAGGAAGGAUGCAGGGGGAGUCUCUGCUAGGUGGGGAGGCCAGGGUGUUCCCGGGGACCAGAGCCCCGGCGCCCUUUCCCCAUCUCCGGGGGGCCUUCUGUUUACUCAAUAAACUUUUUUCAUAUAUUCUCUGGAA